This 432-nucleotide ribosomal RNA is filed under the name uncultured bacterium. Its description in RNAcentral is "partial 16S ribosomal RNA". It matches the Rfam family "Bacterial small subunit ribosomal RNA", at positions 29 to 507 of the family's 1533-position model. The record is from RNAcentral.
ACGAACGCUGGCGGCAUGCCUCACACAUGCCAGUCGAACGAGACCUUCGGGUCUAGUGGCGCACGGGUGCGUAACGCGUGGGAACCUGCCCUUAGGUUCGGAAUAACUCCCCGAAAGGGGUGCUAAUACCGGAUAAUGUCUUCGGACCAAAGAUUUAUCGCCUUUGGAUGGGCCCGCGUUGGAUUAGCUAGUUGGUAGGGUAAAAGCCUACCAAGGCGACGAUCCAUAGCUGGUCUGAGAGGAUGAUCAGCCACACUGGGACUGAGACACGGCCCAGACUCCUACGGGAGGCAGCAGUGGGGAAUAUUGGACAAUGGGCGAAAGCCUGAUCCAGCAAUGCCGCGUGAGUGAUGAAGGCCUUAGGGUUGUAAAGCUCUUUUACCCGGGAUGAUAAUGACAGUACCGGGAGAAUAAGCGCCGGCUAACUCCGUG